UACGGAGGAUGCGAGCGUUAUCCGGAUUUAUUGGGUUUAAAGGGUGCGUAGGCGGACUGUUAAGUCAGCGGUAAAAGCCCGGGGCUCAACCCCGGCGAGCCGUUGAAACUGGCUGUCUUGAGAUGUCGAGAGGUAUGCGGAAUGCGCAGUGUAGCGGUGAAAUGCAUAGAUAUCACGCAGAACUCCGAUUGCGAAGGCAGCAUACCGGCGCCCGACUGACGCUGAAGCACGAAAGCGUGGGUAUCGAACAGG
Molecule: ribosomal RNA, 252 nt
Filed under: uncultured Bacteroidales bacterium
Lineage: Bacteria; Pseudomonadati; Bacteroidota; Bacteroidia; Bacteroidales
Description: partial 16S ribosomal RNA
Rfam family: Bacterial small subunit ribosomal RNA
Source: RNAcentral